RNAcentral lists this long non-coding RNA (414 nucleotides) under Oryza sativa (Asian cultivated rice). RNAcentral's name for it is "long non-coding RNA (OSAT_LNC001348)". The record is from RNAcentral. Lineage: Eukaryota; Viridiplantae; Streptophyta; Magnoliopsida; Poales; Poaceae.
CAGAGAGGUAGCUGGCAGCGUAACUACCACUUUGACAAAUGUUCUUGGUUGCAACAAGAGAUGAAAAAACAAAAGAAGGUUAUUGCAGAAGAAAGUUGUGCCAGCUAAAGUUGGUUGGGAAAGUUUUGUUGGGAUAUCGAAUGCCCACAAGAUUUACUUUUUCCCAAGGAAUCAUAAGAUUGGUAGUAGGAAUCAUCAGGUUGUUUGAAGCAUAUCCCGCACAGAAUGUUCAACAAGAAAAGUGUUGACAACAACAUGAAAGGAUAAAGAAGAAAAAGUAUGUCUCCUUUCUGCAGAUCUUUGUAUUCACAUCAGCUGGAUAUCAGUUUUUAACUCCCUGUCUGGAAUUUACAUCUUUACAGAUGGAAGCUAUCUAUCAUGAUAGGAGUAUUCUGCCUCAAUUUCAAAUCUUUG